AUGUGGGGAAGGAUGAGAAGCUUCGACUAAGGUUCGAUUCGAGCGCAGCGAGAAAGCGUUGCCAACGGCAACGGCCCGAAGGGCGAAGCGCGCAGCGCUGAGUCAUCCUUCCCCCACCACCA
RNAcentral lists this small RNA (122 nucleotides) under Salmonella enterica subsp. enterica serovar Agona str. 400100 30-11. Its description in RNAcentral is "partial RtT sRNA". It matches the Rfam family "RtT RNA". From Rfam's summary of the family: This family represents a bacterial cis-regulatory element known as RtT RNA. The record is from RNAcentral. Lineage: Bacteria; Pseudomonadati; Pseudomonadota; Gammaproteobacteria; Enterobacterales; Enterobacteriaceae.